This is a non-coding RNA of Schistosoma haematobium, 44 nucleotides long. The record is from Rfam. Lineage: Eukaryota; Metazoa; Platyhelminthes; Trematoda; Strigeidida; Schistosomatidae.
ACCAACUGACGAGUCUCAAAUAGAACGAAGCACGCGUCCUGGAU